CCGGGGGGGGGGGGGGGUGCAGAUACACAAUCCCUACCCUAUCUCGCGAUCGGGAAAGGAGAGGGCUCAUAAGGACGCCCCAAUUCGGGAGCGCCCUGGAGCCUGGAGAGCCAUACAGUCAGUUCGCGCGAAGUGGGCACCAGUCUUCCAAGUAGAGUUUCGGGUACUCCGGACCAUACUGCGCUCCCGCAAGAGUCUCUCUAGCCACUUUGGUCCUCCCCCGCUGUUUAAAAUCUAAAUCUUUGGUGUGCGGGUGAAUGUUUCUGUUUUCCUCCUGACGACUUUAUUUCUCUUGAUAUAACUUCUCCUUGUUCGCCCUUUCUUCACCUUUUCUCCCGCUUAUUUUUCCUCUUUUGUGGCCUCGCUCGAUCUCUCUCUCUCUCACACACACACACACACACACGCUGACACCCCCCUGCACCUCGCUCUCUCUUUCUCCCCAGGUCUUGUUGGUUACAGUAGAUUUUGAUAAAAAGACAAACGAAGCUAUCAGUGGGGCUGAUGUUGAAGAAUGAAGAUAAUAAUGUUUCCAUAGGUGGUGCUUCAAAUGCCAUUAUUUCUCACUGAAUAUUUAAAGAGAUCUCUCGGCAAAGAUGGAUCUGCGUGCUCCUGGGGUGCCAGCCUCUCGCUUCCCCCAGACCCCCAGGAAAGUGUGCGGGAGCACGUGUAAAACCCAUCCCCCGCUCCGCAAACUGUGAUCCUCGCAGGCAUCCCAACCCACACUCUUCCAGGGCCAUCCGCAUGCAGGCAUUUAGAAACUGACUUCUUCGCUGGCGACCGCAAGUGCCUGUGAUUUUUACUUUCCGUCUACAUUGAACGUCUUGUACUGAAAUUCACUGAGCCCUGCAUGCCACAGUGCCUCGCUAAGGGGUCUCUGGGUACAAAAUGCCUCUCCAAGGAAAUGUUUCGAGAUGCGUGGAGAGGUUUGGAAGCUCUAGGAGAAGAAAGAUGUUGGGAACAAAUAACUGCCUGCACCUUCUCUCCUGCCCAGAGGAAAGAGCCAGGAAAUAGGAAGAUUUCCAAGCCAAAGUCUGCAACUCAUCCAUGGGGCUGCAGGAUCAUGCAUAUUGCCGACUGAACUCAGGACCACUGAAGUCUCCCAUGACCCACAAAUGCCUUGAACUAAACAUACUGCAGGGAUGCUGACAUCUAUAAACUUAUGAGUCCGAUGAGGUCUCCACUGAUAUUAAACCUCUUGAAGCCUUCUUUUGCUGUUUGUGUUUUUUAUUGUAAAAUGGGCAAAAUGAUAGUGUCUACCUGUCUUAGUCCUAGUCCAUU
Molecule: long non-coding RNA, 1278 nt
Filed under: Cervus hanglu yarkandensis (Yarkand deer)
Lineage: Eukaryota; Metazoa; Chordata; Mammalia; Artiodactyla; Cervidae
Description: lncRNA (ENSCHYG00000005416.1)
Source: RNAcentral